GACGAACGCUGGCGGCGUGCUUAACACAUGCAAGUCGAACGGAAAGGCCCUGCUUUUGUGGGGUGCUCGAGUGGCGAACGGGUGAGUAACACGUGAGUAACCUGCCCUUGACUUUGGGAUAACUUCAGGAAACUGGGGCUAAUACCGGAUAGGAGCUCCUGCUGCAUGGUGGGGGUUGGAAAGUUUCGGCGGUUGGGGAUGGACUCGCGGCUUAUCAGCUUGUUGGUGGGGUAGUGGCUUACCAAGGCUUUGACGGGUAGCCGGCCUGAGAGGGUGACCGGCCAAAUUGGGACUGAGAUACGGCCCAGAAUCCUACGGGAGGCAGCAGUGGGGAAUAAUGCACAAUGGGCGGAAGCCUGAUGCAGGCACGCCGCGGGCGGGAUGACGGCCUUCGGGUUGUAAACCGCUUUCGUCUGGGACGAAGCGUGAGUGAAGGUAAUGGGUAAAGAAGCAACGGCUAACUACGUG
This 468-nucleotide ribosomal RNA is filed under the name uncultured bacterium. RNAcentral's name for it is "partial 16S ribosomal RNA". It matches the Rfam family "Bacterial small subunit ribosomal RNA", at positions 28 to 507 of the family's 1533-position model. The record is from RNAcentral.